This 229-nucleotide long non-coding RNA is filed under the name Lathyrus oleraceus (garden pea). Its description in RNAcentral is "Pisum sativum (pea) long non-coding RNA (PSAT_LNC031856)". Lineage: Eukaryota; Viridiplantae; Streptophyta; Magnoliopsida; Fabales; Fabaceae. The record is from RNAcentral.
CAUUAUUUAAUUGAUUUUAAUUGUUUAAUUGUAAAAUAAAUUGUGUUGAGCAUUUGAUAUUGACUUGUUGGGUUUGACUUAUGUUGUUCGACCUUUGUCAAGGUUGAUUUGACUUUGUUGAGUUAAAAACAUUGGAUUUAGUGGAUUGAUGAAAUGUACAUUUCAUCUCCCAAAAUGAAUGAAUGAUUUUAAUUUGAUAAAAGUCCUCCUUUGACCAAUUUGUGUUGAU